UAUAUUAUAGUUUAAUGAAAAUAUUAAAUUGCAAAUUUAAAGAUCUUUUAGUUUAAAAUUAAUAUAU
This 67-nucleotide transfer RNA is filed under the name Pheidole tristis. RNAcentral's name for it is "tRNA-Cys". The record is from RNAcentral. Lineage: Eukaryota; Metazoa; Arthropoda; Insecta; Hymenoptera; Formicidae.